UUGACAGCCCUGGAAACUGAAACCUUUUAUCCACAGAAUAGGUACAGCACAGGCAGUAAUAAAGUUUCCCCGCGUUGCCCCAGCAAUGUGCCUGAAACCUGAUCUCUAGGGGUGAAAGAGUAGUUAAUUCUCUGUGGCUCAAUUCAAUCCUUGGUACCU
This 159-nucleotide small RNA is filed under the name Chrysemys picta bellii (western painted turtle). RNAcentral describes it as "TUC338 (ENSCPBG00000005613.1)". The record is from RNAcentral. Lineage: Eukaryota; Metazoa; Chordata; Testudines; Emydidae.